This 460-nucleotide ribosomal RNA is filed under the name uncultured bacterium. RNAcentral's name for it is "partial 16S ribosomal RNA". It matches the Rfam family "Bacterial small subunit ribosomal RNA", at positions 338 to 795 of the family's 1533-position model. The record is from RNAcentral.
CCUACGGGAGGCAGCAGUGAGGAAUAUUGGUCAAUGGACGCAAGUCUGAACCAGCCAUGCCGCGUGCAGGAAGACGGCUCUAUGAGUUGUAAACUGCUUUUGUACGAGGGUAAACGCAGAUACGCGUAUCUGUCUGAAAGUAUCGUACGAAUAAGGAUCGGCUAACUCCGUGCCAGCAGCCGCGGUAAUACGGAGGAUUCAAGCGUUAUCCGGAUUUAUUGGGUUUAACGGGUGCGUAGGCGGUCGGAUAAGGUAGAGGUGAAAUCCCGAGGCUCAACUUCGGAAUUGCCUCUGAUACUGGUAGGCUAGAGAGUAGUAGCGGUAGGUGGAAUGUAUGGUGUAGCGGUGAAAUGCUUAGAGAUCAUACAGAACACCGAUUGCGAAGGCAGCUUACCAAGCUACGUCUGACGUUGAGGCACGAAAGCGUGGGGAGCAAACAGGAUUAGAUACCCUGGUAGUC